UACAGAGGGGGCAAGCGUUGUUCGGAAUUACUGGGCGUAAAGGGCGCGUAGGCGGCCUUCUAAGUCGAACGUGAAAUCCCCGGGCUCAACCCGGGAACUGCGUCCGAUACUGGAAGGCUUGAAUCCGGGAGAGGGAUGUGGAAUUCCAGGUGUAGCGGUGAAAUGCGUAGAUAUCGGGAGGAACAUCAGUUGCGAAGGCGGCUCUCUGGACCAGCACUGACACUGAGGCACGAAAGCGUGGGGAGCAAACAGG
RNAcentral lists this ribosomal RNA (253 nucleotides) under uncultured bacterium. RNAcentral describes it as "partial 16S ribosomal RNA". It matches the Rfam family "Bacterial small subunit ribosomal RNA", at positions 524 to 776 of the family's 1533-position model. The record is from RNAcentral.